AUGCAUCAGGUGCCCUCUUUAUCCCCAAUUUCAUUCUUAGACUUCUCAUCUUGCCUUUCUGCUGAUCAUAACCUCUCUGCAGGUACUCUAUUUUUUAGUUGACACUUUGAAUUGUGCAUGCAAAGUGGAGAUCUAUAGAGCUUUGCAUCAAAAGGCCGAAUCCAAUGCCGCAGAGGCAUGCACGCAUGCCGACACAGUCAAGACAGAAGUUGAUAAGCUGAAAAAAUUUCUUAAUAAAGUUUUCAUUGAGCUCACACA
This 258-nucleotide long non-coding RNA is filed under the name Elaeis guineensis (African oil palm). RNAcentral's name for it is "long non-coding RNA (EGUI_LNC040221)". The record is from RNAcentral. Lineage: Eukaryota; Viridiplantae; Streptophyta; Magnoliopsida; Arecales; Arecaceae.